UUCCGGUUGAUCCCGCCGGACCCCACUGCUAUCGGGAUAGGACUAAGACAUGCUAGUCGUGUGCCUCAGCCAAAACGAGGCACGGCGCACAGCUCAGUAACACGUGGCUAACCUGCCCUUAGGACGAGAAUAACCCCGGGAAACUGGGGCUAAUGCUCGAUAGGUGAAGAACUCUGGAAUGAGUCUUCACUUAAAAGAGUCUGCGUUAUGCUCGUAGAUUUCGCUUAAGGAUGGGGCCGCGACCGAUCAGGUUGUUGGUGAGGUAAUGGCUCACCAAGCCUUUUACCGGUGCGGGCCGUGAGAGCGGGAGCCCGGAGAUGGGCACUGAGACAAGGGCCCAGGCCCUACGGGGCGCAGCAGUCGCGAAAACUUUGCAAUACACGAAAGUGUGACAGGGCUAUCCCGAGUGCCAUCCGCUGAGGAAGGCUUUUACCCAGUCUAGAACGCUGGGGGAAUAAGGAGAGGGCAAGUCUGGUGUCAGCCGCCGCGGUAAUACCAGCUCUCCGAGUGGUGUGGAUGUUUAUUGGGCCUAAAGCAUCCGUAGCUGGCUAAGUUAGUCCCCUGUUAAAUCCAACGAAUUAAUCGUUGGAUCGCGGGGGAUACUGCUUGGCUAGGGGACGAGAGAGGCAGACGGUAUUUCCGGGGUAGGGGUGAAAUCCUACAAUCCCGGGAAGACCACCAGUGGCGAAGGCUGUCUGCUAGAACGCGCCCGACGGUGAGGGAUGAAAGCUGGGGGAGCGAACCGGAUUAGAUACCCGGGUAGUCCCAGCUGUAAACGAUGCAGGCUAGGUGUUUGGACGGCCACGUGCCGUUCUAGUGCCGCAGGGAAGCUGUUAAGCCUGCCGCCUGGGGAGUACGAUCGCAAGAUUGAAACUUAAAGGAAUUGGCGGGGGAGCACCACAAGGGGUGAAGCUUGCGGUUUAAUUGGAGUCAACGCCGG
Molecule: ribosomal RNA, 940 nt
Filed under: archaeon enrichment culture clone C4-47C-A
Lineage: Archaea
Description: bacterial SSU rRNA
Rfam family: Archaeal small subunit ribosomal RNA
Source: RNAcentral